This 257-nucleotide long non-coding RNA is filed under the name Mytilus galloprovincialis (Mediterranean mussel). The record is from RNAcentral. Lineage: Eukaryota; Metazoa; Mollusca; Bivalvia; Mytilida; Mytilidae.
GCUUUAUAUUUUAGAAGGUGGCAGACCUGGAUGCUUCAUACUUUGUAUAUAGAUGCUUCAUGUUACAAAGUUUCCGUCAGUCACAUGUCCAAUGUCCUUGACCUCAUUUUCAUGGUUCAGUGACCACUUGAAAAAAAAGUUCAAAUUUUUUGUAAUGUUGAAUUCUCUCUUAUUAUAAGUAAUAGGAUAACUAUAUUUGAUAUGUGCGUACCUUGCAAGGUCCUCGUGUCUGUCAGACAGUUUUCACUUGACCUCGA